GAUGAACGCUGGCGGUGGGCCUAAUACAUGCAAGUCGAGCGAAAGGACGGGAAGCUCGCGUUCCUGAUGGUAGCGGCGGACGGGUGAGUGACACAUAGAUAACAUACUUAUAAGACUGGGAUAAUUUCGUGAAGCCAGAGCUGAUACCACAUAAUAUUUUGAACCGCUUAGUGCAAAAGUUAAAGACGCUCUUGCUGUCACUUAUAGAUGGAGCCGCGCUGCAUUAGCUAGUUGGUAAGGUAACGGCCUACCAAGGCAACGAUGCGUGGCCGACCUGAGAGGGUGAUCGGCCACACUAGAACUGAGACACGGUCCAGACUCCUACGGGAGGCAGCAGUAGGGAAUCUUGCGCAAUGGGCGAAAGCCUGACCGAGCAACGCCGCGUGAGUGAAGAAGGUCUUCGGAUUGUAAAACCCUGUUAUUAGGGAAGAAAAGCAGUGUAAGUAACUGUGCACAUCUUGACGGUACCUAAACAGAAAGCCACGGCUAACUACGUG
Molecule: ribosomal RNA, 497 nt
Filed under: uncultured bacterium
Lineage: Bacteria
Description: partial 16S ribosomal RNA
Rfam family: Bacterial small subunit ribosomal RNA
Source: RNAcentral